This is a long non-coding RNA of Arachis ipaensis, 429 nucleotides long. RefSeq lists it as uncharacterized. Lineage: Eukaryota; Viridiplantae; Streptophyta; Magnoliopsida; Fabales; Fabaceae. The record is from RefSeq and is a predicted model, not a curated record.
AAAACAUGGAAUAAAGAUAUGAUUUAUGCCUCCUCAGGAACAGAAAUCAAGUGUUUUGAUGUGCGUCUGGUAAGCAAUUUAUGGGCAACAAAGAGCUACUGGAGAAUUAUAAUUAUAACAAAGAGGAGAUAAACAAGGUUGUAUGCAACUUGAAAUCCUCAUUUCUUGCUGCAGCUGAUGAUAGUGGUGAGGUGAAGAUUAUUGACAUUCGCCAGCCAUGCCUCUAUAAAACUCUACGAGCUGGUCAUACAUCUGUAUCCUUCUUGAUUCCUAGUGGUGCUUCGGAACAUGGAUGCUAAUUAUGCAGAUCUGGAGUUUUGUGUUUAAGCUACUUAUACUUUUGGUCUGUUCCUUGUAUAUUACAUUAUAGUACUGUUAUAGUCUCUAACUUUGCGGCUAAGUUCUAAUUUCAUCCCUAACGUUUGAAAU